RNAcentral lists this long non-coding RNA (736 nucleotides) under Lactuca sativa (garden lettuce). RNAcentral describes it as "long non-coding RNA (LSAT_LNC002327)". The record is from RNAcentral. Lineage: Eukaryota; Viridiplantae; Streptophyta; Magnoliopsida; Asterales; Asteraceae.
UGACCUUUGGAUAUCCAUAACUUGAGGACAAAUUAUGGACUCCAUUAAAACACAUAAAUGAUCAAGAAUUAAUUCUAAACAAUUCAGCAAAUAAUUCCUAUCAUCUUCUAAAUUCAUAAGAACAUGAACAUGAUCAUCAAAAUUUCAAGAAUUAUAUGAACACAUAAAAAACAUGGAAUUUUGAUAUAUGCUAUUGUAAAUGGAUUAGAACAACCAUUACACCAACUAAAACAAGUUUUAAAACACCAAAACAGUUUAGGGUAAUGUUUCUAGUCCAUUUCCAGCAGCAAAAGUCGAAAUUCUGCAUUCUGAUCAUUCUACUCGCCGAGUGCACGAACCUACUCGCCGAGUAGGAUGAAUUUUGCCUUGAACUCGGCGAGUCCCCCCAUGGACUCGGCGAGUCCAUCAGCCAGACAGCAACGAUUUCAACUUUUUUCACUAUUUUGCAUCAAGUAUCAAACAAGCAAGCCUAGGCUCUGAUACCACUGUUGGGUUUUGAGCAAUCUAACACUUCCUAAGUGUGCAUGCAACCCUAAUAAACCUUGGAUCUAUGUUUGUCUAAAUACAUGCAAAAUAAUAAUUUUUCCAAGGUUCAUAACCUAUCUAACAUGGCAUGGGGUACUUUUAAACAUAAAAGAAUUAGAUGAGAUUACAUACCUUUUGAUGAUGAGUUUGAUUCCUAAGGAGUUUGAGGGCCAAGCACCAAUAGUGUGAAUGCCUCAAAUGGAAAUCACAA